Molecule: ribosomal RNA, 472 nt
Filed under: uncultured bacterium
Lineage: Bacteria
Description: bacterial SSU rRNA
Rfam family: Bacterial small subunit ribosomal RNA
Source: RNAcentral
UGGGGAAUAUUGGACAAUGGGCGAAAGCCUGAUCCAGCCAUGCCGCGUGUGUGAAGAAGGUCUUCGGAUUGUAAAGCACUUUAAGUUGGGAGGAAGGGCAGUAAGUUAAUACCUUGCUGUUUUGACGUUACCGACAGAAUAAGCACCGGCUAACUCUGUGCCAGCAGCCGCGGUAAUACAGAGGGUGCAAGCGUUAAUCGGAAUUACUGGGCGUAAAGCGCGCGUAGGUGGUUUGUUAAGUUGGAUGUGAAAGCCCCGGGCUCAACCUGGGAACUGCAUCCAAAACUGGCAAGCUAGAGUACGGUAGAGGGUGGUGGAAUUUCCUGUGUAGCGGUGAAAUGCGUAGAUAUAGGAAGGAACACCAGUGGCGAAGGCGACCACCUGGACUGAUACUGACACUGAGGCACGAAAGCGUGGGGAGCAAACAGGAUUAGAUACCCGCGUAGUCCCUGAGCGGGCUGGCAAGGCGCAU